This 497-nucleotide ribosomal RNA is filed under the name uncultured bacterium. RNAcentral describes it as "partial 16S ribosomal RNA". It matches the Rfam family "Bacterial small subunit ribosomal RNA", at positions 28 to 507 of the family's 1533-position model. The record is from RNAcentral.
GAUGAACGCUGGCGGCGUGCCUAAUACAUGCAAGUCGAGCGAACGGACGAGAAGCUUGCUUCUCUGAUGUUAGCGGCGGACGGGUGAGUAACACGUGGAUAACCUACCUAUAAGACUGGGAUAACUUCGGGAAACCGGAGCUAAUACCGGAUAAUAUUUUGAACCGCAUGGUUCAAAAGUGAAAGACGGUCUUGCUGUCACUUAUAGAUGGAUCCGCGCUGCAUUAGCUAGUUGGUAAGGUAACGGCUUACCAAGGCAACGAUGCAUAGCCGACCUGAGAGGGUGAUCGGCCACACUGGAACUGAGACACCGUCCAGACUCCUACGGGAGGCAGCAGUAGGGAAUCUUCCGCAAUGGGCGAAAGCCUGACGGAGCAACGCCGCGUGAGUGAUGAAGGUCUUCGGAUCGUAAAACUCUGUUAUUAGGGAAGAACAUAUGUGUAAGUAACUGUGCACAUCUUGACGGUACCUAAUCAGAAAGCCACGGCUAACUACGUG